UCUACAGUCCAACAAUAAUUGCCAGGAGACUUUUGUAGGCUUUUGCAGGCUUUUGCAGGACUUUUGCAUUAUACCUAUGAUGGGCAGCUGGGUCCAUCUCCCCCUCCAGU
Chiroxiphia lanceolata (lance-tailed manakin) is the source of this 110-nucleotide long non-coding RNA. RefSeq lists it as uncharacterized. The transcript has 3 exons. NCBI's taxonomy places the organism in Eukaryota, Metazoa, Chordata, Aves, Passeriformes, Pipridae. The record is from RefSeq and is a predicted model, not a curated record.